AUUGAACGCUGGCGGCAGGCCUAACACAUGCAAGUCGAGCGGAUGAAGGGAGCUUGCUCCUGGAUUCAGCGGCGGACGGGUGAGUAAUGCCUAGGAAUCUGCCUGGUAGUGGGGGAUAACGUCCGGAAACGGGCGCUAAUACCGCAUACGCCCUGAGGGAGAAAGUGGGGGAUCUUCGGACCUCACGCUAUCAGAUGAGCCUAGGUCGGAUUAGCUAGUUGGUGGGGUAAAGGCCUACCAAGGCGACGAUCCGUAACUGGUCUGAGAGGAUGAUCAGUCACACUGGAACUGAGACACGGUCCAGACUCCUACGGGAGGCAGCAGUGGGGAAUAUUGGACAAUGGGCGAAAGCCUGAUCCAGCCAUGCCGCGUGUGUGAAGAAGGUCUUCGGAUUGUAAAGCACUUUAAGUUGGGAGGAAGGGCAGUAAGUUAAUACCUUGCUGUUUUGACGUUACCAACAGAAUAAGCACCGGCUAACUUCGCG
Molecule: ribosomal RNA, 484 nt
Filed under: uncultured bacterium
Lineage: Bacteria
Description: partial 16S ribosomal RNA
Rfam family: Bacterial small subunit ribosomal RNA
Source: RNAcentral